RNAcentral lists this transfer RNA (65 nucleotides) under Leucophoroptera quadrimaculata. Its description in RNAcentral is "tRNA-Leu". Lineage: Eukaryota; Metazoa; Arthropoda; Insecta; Hemiptera; Miridae. The record is from RNAcentral.
UCUAAUAUGACAGAAUAAUGUAAUGAAUUUAAGAUUCAUAAAUGAGAAAUAUUUCUCUAUUAGAA